UAACCAUGUUGUGAAUAUGAAUUUAUGAGAUCCUUAAAUCGCACCCAAUAUUGAAAGAAGGUCUCAUCAUCUUUUUGUGCAAAAUUCAUGAUCACUUUCUUUAAGGUA
Magnolia sinica is the source of this 108-nucleotide small nucleolar RNA. Lineage: Eukaryota; Viridiplantae; Streptophyta; Magnoliopsida; Magnoliales; Magnoliaceae. The record is from RefSeq and is a predicted model, not a curated record.